GCUGGGUGCGGUGGUGCACACCUGUAAUUCCAGCAGCUGUGGAGGCAGAGGCAGGAGGAUCACAAGUUCAAAGCCAACCUCAGCAAUGGCAAGGCGCUAAGCAACUCAGUGAGACCCUGAGUCUA
Molecule: small RNA, 125 nt
Filed under: Marmota monax (woodchuck)
Lineage: Eukaryota; Metazoa; Chordata; Mammalia; Rodentia; Sciuridae
Source: RNAcentral